This is a long non-coding RNA of Rhinichthys klamathensis goyatoka, 343 nucleotides long. RefSeq lists it as uncharacterized. The transcript has 2 exons. The record is from RefSeq and is a predicted model, not a curated record. NCBI's taxonomy places the organism in Eukaryota, Metazoa, Chordata, Actinopteri, Cypriniformes, Leuciscidae.
ACUGCUGAGGAAAAUGUUCGACAGAUCAAUUUUGUUCUGUUUGUGCUGUUGCCGUGUGUUUGGUGUUGAUGCAAUGAAGUCAGUGUCAGUGAUGGAGGGAGAUUCAGUCACUCUACAGACUGAUACUGAACUACAGACAAAUGGUCUGAUCAUGUGGAACUUUAAAACCACCGGGCCUCUUUUAGCAAAAAUGAACUGCGUGACCAAGGACAUCUCAAUAAGGGAAGAUGUUCUUGAUGGGAGAUUCAGAAACAGACUGAAGGUGGACACUCAAACUGGAUCUCUGACCAUCAUGAACACCAGAAUCACAGACUCUGAAGAUUAUCAAAUCACCAUCAGCAGC